UCCNCUGUUCAGGUAAGGAUGUUGAGACCC
RNAcentral lists this non-coding RNA (30 nucleotides) under Rattus norvegicus (Norway rat). Lineage: Eukaryota; Metazoa; Chordata; Mammalia; Rodentia; Muridae. The record is from RNAcentral.